GUGUUUCCUUCAGCAGCACAUACACUAAAAUUGGAACAAUACAGAGAUUAGUGUGGUCCCUAUGCAAGGAUGACAUGCAAAUUUGUGAAGCAUUUCAUAUAUAA
This 104-nucleotide small nuclear RNA is filed under the name Colobus angolensis palliatus. Lineage: Eukaryota; Metazoa; Chordata; Mammalia; Primates; Cercopithecidae. The record is from RNAcentral.